This 148-nucleotide non-coding RNA is filed under the name Pan troglodytes (chimpanzee). The record is from Rfam by way of RNAcentral. Lineage: Eukaryota; Metazoa; Chordata; Mammalia; Primates; Hominidae.
GCCAGGCGUAGUGGCGUGCGCCUGUAGUCCCAGCUACUUGGGAGGCUGGGGCAGGAGAAUCACUUGAACCCAGGAGGCGGAGGCUGCAGUGAGCCGAGACUGUGCCACUGUACUCCAGCCUGGGCAACAGAGUUAGACCCUGCCUCAA